RNAcentral lists this long non-coding RNA (1265 nucleotides) under Linum usitatissimum (flax). Its description in RNAcentral is "long non-coding RNA (LUSI_LNC004480)". Lineage: Eukaryota; Viridiplantae; Streptophyta; Magnoliopsida; Malpighiales; Linaceae. The record is from RNAcentral.
GCCUCCAUACUUGUCCUGAAGCAUCUGCGGAAGAUCCCAGUGAUAUAAAGUCACAUAAGGCUUGAUUCCUGAUUCAGAUAGGGUUAACUCAGUUUUUUUUUUCAGUUAUAUCAAAGCAAAACUUCUAAAAGACAUCUCAGAGGUAUCAUAAAGAACCAACCUUUUUCUAGUAACCCAUCAAUGAGUUUGUUGUAAUAUGUUAUGCCUUCUGGGUUUAGAUUCCCUGUUCCAUCUGUUGCAAUAAAUUUUCAAAAGCAAUCAGCUAUAGAUAGAAGAACAUUGCUAAGAAACAGAAUUGAUUUUUACUUUCCAUAACUUACUUGGAAAGAUUCUUGCCCAUGAGAUGGAGAAUCUGUAGGUAUCCAUUCCCAAAUCUUUCAUCAACCCUAUAUCAUCCUGCACAAGAUGUAAUCCAUUAUUAUUUUCACCUGAUUGGUUAUUUCUAGUUGAAAUCCCAAGUCUUGUAGCAUUUCGCGGGACUAAAAAAACCAGGCCAUUUUCUUUGAGUGUAGUGGAUUGCCAGUAGUUGAAGUAACCAAGUUAGACAAGGAAUAAAGACACUGAUAAAAUACUAUAUGCAUUUCCUUUUAUUCGUGAUUUUUUUUUCUUGUAGGACGGUGACAGUGACACAUCAUCGGCAUUAUCACUAGCUGUCGUUAUAUUAUUUGAUAUGUGGGACAUGUGGUCUUCUCUUAGUUUAAGAUUCUUAUCCAUCUCAAAAUUCUUGUUUUCUUUGUCCCUGCUCUUUUCUUUUGGCCGGUGCCUCUUUCAUUUCUGUGGAAAGAGUAGUCUUGAAUGAACUAGCUGAUACACGUUAAGACUUUCCCAAAUUUAAGUAUAAUCCUCAAUCAUCUUCACUUACACGUCUAGGAUUCUCGUACUUGUUUGUCUCUGUACUGACAUAAUCUGAUGGUUUCAGGGGGGGAAAAGGAUGGAAAAAAAUUGUUUACCUGAAACCUGUGGUAUUGAUCAACAGCGACAUCAGCAUUGCUGAAAUCCAAAAUUCUCCCUGGCGAAGACGACCCUGGAAAAGUAAGUUCCUUUCUCUUGUAUAAAUAAAUAAUCUGGCAUUUUCCUGAAAGGUGAUGAGAUUACUUACCGGGCUUUCUUGUGAAGGUAUCCCAUAUGCUAGCUCCUUUAUUCCCUUCAGUUGCAGCUCCUUCAAACUGAAAAGGAGAAAUUUGAUUAUCAAGAUGCUCUUCUAAGAAAACCAGACAGCUUCAGGAACACUUCUAUUGAGUUGAGAAGGAAAGAGAACUUGAUAA